CAGCUUAAAUCCACUUGAUGCGGCCAGUUUCCUCCAAUUCAUGGCUGUGAGUCUGUGCUGUCGUUCUUCCACAGUUUGUUCUCCAUGGAGUACUGCUGACUGAAUAUUCUACAUGCACAGGCAGUGUUGAUGAAGAUGGGAUCCAAAGACAACUGAUGAAUAACAAUAAAACGUUGUAUUUACGGGAUAACGUGCUAAAAACGAAUGCAUAAGCAAAUUCCAAACAAACAUAUUUGGAAUAAAUUGACAAAAGCUAUCAACUCUCCGAGUUGAAGGUCUUCCUAAGAAUGAAUUAAUGCAAAAUUCCUGACUACAUGGGUUAUGACUCCUGUCGCCACUAUCAAAGAGUGACAUCAACUUUGACUUCAAUCUCAUUUACCACCCAGGAUUAUGUUCCAACCAAGCCUAUCACUUCUUCCUUCCAUCAUUUAAAGAUGUCUUCAUCAGCUAUGCUGACAGUCACAUCACUCAUCUGAGUGCUGUUCCCCUCACAUCUACUGUAACUAAUUAAAAGUAAAUUAACACAUAAGUUGUGACAUGCCUUGGUA
This 548-nucleotide long non-coding RNA is filed under the name Dromaius novaehollandiae (emu). RNAcentral describes it as "lncRNA (ENSDNVG00000012365.1)". The record is from RNAcentral. Lineage: Eukaryota; Metazoa; Chordata; Aves; Casuariiformes; Dromaiidae.